ACAGGCAUUGUAUCCGACUGGGCCGACCACAUAGAAAUUAAAGAUGAGGAUCUGAUUCAGAGGCAGCUGCAGGUCUUUUUCUGCCGUGUGGUGUCACUGGGUCCAGCGAUAUUUAAGGUGACCGUGUCAUGAUGAAAAACAACACAAGAACAGACAGAGGUGGAGAUGGAGGGACUGCGGAUGGAGCAGCCAGGCUGUGUUUCUGCUCUGCACAGACACCAGAACAAGAGCUGCAGCCUGCAAAUGGAUCCUAAUAAAAUGAAGAGUUGCCCGGAUACUUUCUUCUUCUUUUACCAACUGCGCCCUGCGGAGGCUCUAUGGCCCUGGAUGGCGCGGAUUUAUCUACUUCUUUUUCAUCACAUGGUUUUUAAAGUUCUUCGGACCCAGCCCCAGCGUCGCCAAUCGGCUUCCCUCUUGGAGAGAGUGGACCAAUCAGCGACAGUCUUUGAUGAAUAUUCAUGAGUCCGAGAUUCAAACCUUUGAGCGAGUUUGUCUUGGUCCACAGCAUCAUACCUAGGACUUUUCACAGGCACAAACUACAUUUUCUUAUGAAUGGAAAGAGAAAAAAUCAGUUCGGCUUAAAUUGGGACUCAUCCUUCACUGAGAUCAUAGAAGGAAAACAACAAAAGCAAGAC
RNAcentral lists this long non-coding RNA (635 nucleotides) under Cottoperca gobio. RNAcentral describes it as "lncRNA (ENSCGOG00000015538.1)". The record is from RNAcentral. Lineage: Eukaryota; Metazoa; Chordata; Actinopteri; Perciformes; Bovichtidae.